This 460-nucleotide ribosomal RNA is filed under the name uncultured Methylomirabilota bacterium. RNAcentral's name for it is "bacterial SSU rRNA". It matches the Rfam family "Bacterial small subunit ribosomal RNA", at positions 979 to 1434 of the family's 1533-position model. The record is from RNAcentral. Lineage: Bacteria; Methylomirabilota (SeqCode).
GUCAGACAUUUCGAGUACAUGCGGGAAACGGUAGGGUGCGGGCGGGGGGUACAGGAGACGGGUGGGCCAUGGCCGUGGCCAUCUGAUGUGGGGAGAUUAGGGGUUAAGUCUUCAAGCGAGCGAGUUCCUCCCUGCAAUGUUGACCUGGGGGUAAAGCCGAGCGAUCGAGGGGAUAUCCCAACGUCAAUUUGGAGGAAGGCGGGCAUGGUAUCAAGUCAUCAUGCCCGGUCAUUAAGGGCAUGCACACGGACUUCAUUGGCCAAUUCAAAGGGAUGGGAGAUGGCGAGUUGGAUCUAAUCCCAAAAAGUUGGUGUAAGCUCAUAGGGCAGUGGGCAGCUCGCGUUCAGGAAGGUGGAACAACUUGUCAUCGCGCGUCAUGCCGGCACGCAGACUACGUUCCUGUGCCUGUUACACAGCGGGCGUCACACCCUGAAAGCCAGCUUUACUGGAAGUCAAGGAC